Molecule: ribosomal RNA, 405 nt
Filed under: uncultured bacterium
Lineage: Bacteria
Description: bacterial SSU rRNA
Rfam family: Bacterial small subunit ribosomal RNA
Source: RNAcentral
GUGGGGAAUAUUGCACAAUGGGGGAAACCCUGAUGCAGCGACGCCGCGUGAGCGAAGAAGUACCUCGGUAUGUAAAGCUCUAUCAGCAGGGAAGAAGAUGACGGUACCUGACCAAGAAGCUCCGGCUAAAUACGUGCCAGCAGCCGCGGUAAUACGUAUGGAGCAAGCGUUAUCCGGAUUUACUGGGUGUAAAGGGAGCGCAGGCGGCCUUGCAAGUCUGAUGUGAAAGGCCGGGGCCCAACCCCGGGACUGCAUUGGAAACUGCGAGGCUGGAGUGUCGGAGAGGCAGGCGGAAUUCCUAGUGUAGCGGUGAAAUGCGUAGAUAUUAGGAGGAACACCAGUGGCGAAGGCGGCCUGCUGGACGAUGACUGACGCUGAGGCUCGAAAGCGUGGGGAGCAAACAGG